AGAAUCCUCUCCUGCCUCUGCUGCCCACGCUGCUUUGGCCCAGGACACGUUUGGCUUUCUGGGCUGUGAGUGCCCAUGGCCAGAUCAUGUUCAGCUUCUCACCCACCAGCACCCCCAAGUCCUUCUCACAGGGCUGCUCAAAAUCCAUUCUCUUCCUAGCCUGUGUUUGUCUUUGGGAUUGCCCCAGUCCGGGUGCAGCACCUUGCACUUGGCCUUGUUUAACUUCAUGCAUCAGCCCACUUCUCACGUGUCCCUUCCCUCCAGAGUGUCAACUGCACGUCACAGCUCAAUGUUGUCAGCAAACUUGCUGAGGGUUCUCUCAAUCCUGCUGACACUGAUAAAAAUGUUAAACUGCACUGGUCAAAAUACCUGUCCCUGAGAAACUCCACUCACAUCAUGCUACAUGCAGGGUUUUGCCUUAAAGCUCCUCCAGGUGUCAUUUCCUUCGCAUUUUUUAGAGAAGUAGCAAUAAGCAUCUCAUGUGCUGCCAGUCUUGUGUGUGCAUUCUCUUUCUGUAUGAAUUUGGACCUUGGAACAAAGUGUCCAUGCACGAAGAGCCACAUUUUCUUAUACAUUGCCAUCUUACUUAGCCACCUUUUAUUUAUUUUUUCCCUUCUAAUUAGUCUUGAAAGAUACCAGCGGUGAAGGUUGUAACACAGUAAGCCAUCAGGCUAUACCAUAAAGAAAUGUUAUGGAUCAUUUCAGGAAUAGCUGCCUUUUUCCAUUUCACUUUGGCGCACACUGCACCAAAUCAAACCACCAGAGAAUUACAGAUCCCACUUUGCCACCUUCAAAGUUUAUCUGGAGGCAACAUGUCAUAGUGUCCCUCAGAAGCUUCUGCAUUAAUUGCAGUCACAAUACCCUUCAGCAAUGUUGUGAACACAAUGUUCAGAUAUAUUUAGCCACAACUGAGCUCAGAAGAUUCUAUCACUUUUGUGAGACCACCCUGGGGAAGCACUCUGGAUUGCCUGAGCCAAAUUCCUCCUGCUAUAUUGAAGGCCUCAUAAUGCAAGACUGCACCCAGCAUGUGCACACCACUGCUGGUUAUCCAGCGCUGGCUGUGGGAGCAUGGCAGUUCUUCAAGUUCUUCUUCUUCUUCAAUCUUCUUAGAUUAAUCUAAGUUAAUCAGUGUACAAAGGACAAAGUGAAAGAAGCUGAGUUACCAGAAUUUUGCCAAUUUGCUUACCUGAAUCUGCAUUAAACACCUUAACCAUUAACCACGCACUGCACACUGACUUUCAGACCAACAGAAGCUCAUUAACUUAUACCUCUGUGAAGCCAGUUUAAUCCAAGCUAUAAAGUUUAAUCCAACACAUUUACUGUGCAUGUGUAACAGAUAGUGAAAGCACCUGGUAGCACCUGGCCAUGACCUGUCCAUGCCUCACUUCCCUGUCUCUUCAUCCAAAGGUCUUCCCUCCACUUGUCACUGGAAAAACAGCAGGAUCUUUGACAGGAUACUUUUUACAUAUUUUGUGAGCACAGUCCAGCUGCUAGCACCAAGCACCAAGAAGGGAUUUUAUUUUUUUUAGCAGAAUUUGCCAGGUGGUGGAAAUGCAUUCCCAGAAUACCUGGUGAAAAGCAAGUUCCUCUAUAACUCACCCAUGAUGUCACUUAUCUCUUACUAUCCUGCACUAUCAUGCAUUGAUGUCCUAAAAACAACACACACUGCUGCUCCCUAGAUACCACUUUUUGGGGGGAUUUGGCUUUUUCCUUUUUCUCAUGUUCCUUUGGCAGAAGUCCAGACACUCCCACCUUCUCCAAUUGGGAUCUUUCACUUUCACAAUAUAGGGGCUUUAUUAGCUUCAGUUUUCUGGUCUUAUAAUUUUAAAACCUCUUGAACAGAAAACUUCACAUCUGACAAGCCUGUCUUAAAAGAUGCAUAUUCUUGGAUUCAUACUUUAUUCUAGAUGAACUUUAAAACAAAACAAUGUGGAAAGCGGACCUUACUGCUGAAAUUCUGCAUGCAAAAUAAACUAUUUCAGGCCAAAUUGUGCCUUGGAAUUGAAGCUCAGGAAAAUUACUUCCAAAAAGCUCUCCAAAAUGGCUCUAAGAAUGUAGGCUUUCAGUCCUACUAUAUUGAGAUUAAAUGAACACAUGGUUCAAGUCAAGCUUGCUUUUAAGUACAUUCCUGAGCAGGGAAGGACUUAUUUAAGCAAUUGUUUAAACGUUUUCCUGAAACACAACCCCAGAAGUUAGGAGGGUAUCACAGCAUCUAUUUCUUGGUCAGCUGACAAAAUGCAGCACAGCUACAUGAGAACUCCCCAGCUAUGCAGAUACUCAUAUGUGAAAAACGUAAGACACAGCUUGUGCUUUUUUUUAUACAACAUGCUUUGAAAUGUCACAUAAAUUGUUUUCAUUUGAUUAAAGAAAAGAGUCAAUUUUGCAGAAAACAAUUUAUUAAAUACAUAAGACUAGGUUGCUACACCUAAUUACAGACAAAAUACUGUGAAUAAAGCAUGCACUUACCACAGACAUCAAUGACUAUUUUGAUUUAUUUUAAAUGGUCUUUAUUUCUGUAAGUUAAGGCUGUACCAAUACAAAUUUUAAAAAUCAAAAAUAACGAAGUCACACUACAGUAGUAGCAAACAUUGUACAGACACUGAAACCAAUCUCUAAUGCAGCAGAACCAGACUUCUUAAAGAUUAUCAUAAGAGAAUAAAAAUAGAGGUGAAGUGCAAUAAAGAUCUGAAUAUUUUUGGAAUUUACAGACCAGUGACAGUGAAUGUCAUACUCCAAUUAGCACAAACAGAAUCCAUUUUUUUCAAAAGCCUAAUUAUCUGACAACUAAGCAAGAGAGAAAACUAAUAAAUACCACCUUAAAAAAACCCUCUUGAUUUUUUUAUCUUCUUCUUAUUGAGGGUACUUCUGUACUCUACUUAAAGAACAUUUUUCAAGAAGACAUUGUGGCAGACAACAGUACAACACACAUUUGUUUAGUCUAUCCCCAUUAAAAAAUAGUGGAGUGUCUUGAAGAAGAACAAUACAUCACAACAAAAAAAAAUUUAACUGACACAAGUGACAGACAAUGUUGUUGACCAUAUCGGUCUUCACCAGCAAAGGAAUGUAUGAAGUUUGCUUCUUAAAAAUAUGCUGCAGGCAUGGCAAUAUGACAUUCACAUGGGUCAAAACUUAUCCAGCUGAUGAGCUGAUGAGUAAAAAAAUUACCAGCCCUGGAAACACCAUUUGAUCUGAGGUUCAAAGUAGGUUAUGAAAUCCUUCUCCAUUUACAGCCACAAAGCCUUUUUGCUUGUCUUUCUCCUGGUGCUGUGCAAGUACAAAAAUAGGGUAAUUUGAGGACAAUGGGCUCAAACAGUUAAUUGAAAAUGGACUAGUUGACAAUGUUGCUCACAUUUUCAGAAAAUGAGCCAGUAAUCUUCACCCCAGAUUUCUAAAUUUGCAGAGCUUAAUGCAUUAAAAUAGAUCAAAGUAUUACUUCUCCCUGAAAUUUCUGUCCACUUAAUCUCACAAAUGCAGGAGCAAGAGAUCUGUGUAAGAAGGUGCCCUGUGUACAGGCAACUGCAUUUGGAGUGGAUGAUACAUAGCACUCCUCACGCUAAAAUCUCUGCCUUAAAUAGCUGAUUACAGCUGGGGCUUGCAAGGGGGUCUAAAAAAAGGUAGGUCCCAAAUUCCACUUGAGUUUAGAUAGAUAAUUCUUUCCUGCAUCCUUUCAGCAGCAUAGACUAAGCUGUAUUGAAAAGGAAAAAGGAAAGCUGGUCCUGCAAUAUAAUGCACAUCACACAAAAUAUAAUUACAGGACUGACAGUAUGCACACUGAAGGAAUCACUGUGAUAGGAAGGUGGUAUCUAAACUAGCACACCAUUAAUAUAAUUUCAUUUGCAUCUUGAAACUGAUGAAUUGUGGCAAAAAGCAAACAAAUGCAACUAGAGACUGACAUGCUACAGCCAGUAGGCUGAUCAGGUCUGCACCUAUAGAACCCUUAUUGCAUUUCCAGUGUGCAAACUAGGAAUAAAGGAUGUUGAUGGCUUUUCUGACUCAAAUCUAAGCUGGGGAUAAUGCCGAUAUACCUAGCUUCACAAUGGAAAAUAAGAAGAUGGGAAAAAAACAGCUGCUGCAUUACAAUCUGACUGGUUUUUUGGUGAAUUAGGCCAAUAUAUAGAAGUUAGAAAGACAAGUUGGUUAGACAACUAGUGCAAUGGUGAGACCACUGAGACGCUGAUCUACUUAUAAAUAGAAGAAAUAUAAGAUGUAAGACCAUGCCUUGAAUGUUUAAUAUCAGGACCACACAGGCAGGAACUCUAUGGAGUGAAAACUCUUCACUCAUAUUAGUGGAAGCACAUUUUCAUGUGUAAAUGGCUACUAGACAACCAAAACAAUGGACAACUGCACUGUAACUGGUCCCAUCUGGCUCCUCUCUGGUAAAGCAAGUCUGACGAAGCUUCCAGUUUUUAAAGGAAAAUUACAGGACCUAACAUUUCUGAAGAGAGCCCUAUAUUCCCUGCAACUGAUAGAAACUGAGGUGCUGCAAAAGGCUUCACAAUAUUAUAUCACCUGUGGAAGGUUUUAAUCUUCAGCUGGGGUUUUCAAUUCAUCGGGUUUUGGAGGACCAGCUUGCAACCUACUACACAGGAUGAUUUUCAGUGUAUUCUGUAUGCUUCCUUUAAUAUUGCCUUUUGUAAAUGUCCCGGGUAUCACUAAAAGGAACAACUACAUUGAAAAGUCUGACAUAAACGUUAACUUUUGAAAGUGUUUUACUUCACAAGGCCUGUCAAUUUUCUGCUUGCAGACAGAGAUGACUUCAGACCAAUACUUCUAAGGAUGAACCCAAUGUACUUGUCCCAGACUGCAUGGGGGACAUCUGCUAUGGAAUGUCACUGCAUGACUGAUAAGAGCUACAGCAUCCCAUUGUGAGAUGCUCGGCCCAGAGGGAGGAGCCAAGCAUUCCUACCUGGAUAUAAUCUUGUGUUUCUGGACACCAGCAUGGCUUUCUCCACUGGAUUUCCCAUAGGAACAGCAGUUGCUUCUUCUUCACUGAUCUUGAGAGGAAGACUACACCCUUUUCUACAGGAUCCCUGCUCCAACAGAACCAUUCCUGGAGUGUCAGUUCUCCUGACACUCCAGGAGAACUGCAGCCACAUUUCCAAUUGGACUGCUACCAACACCGUGACCAACAGGGUGUCAGGUUGUGUUCUGACUCUGUCAGUGUUGUUUUUGUUUACUGCAUUCUUUAUUUUAUCCUUUUCUUUUCCUCCCUAUUAAAGAACUGUUAUUUCCUGCUUCAAUAUUUGUUGCCUGAGAGCCCCUUAAUUUGAAAUUGAUAGCAAUUUGGAGGGGGGGUGGGGUAUUCACAUUCUCCAUUUCAGGGGAGCCUCCUGCCUUCCUUAGCAGGCACCUGUAUUUCCAAACCAAGACAGUACUCUUAUUUUCCCCAGUCAUGCAGUUUUUCUCAUAACUUGUUAUUUUGAUUUGAAAAGUCUUUUCAAGACAGCUUUCAUGUCUCAACAGAGAUGAAAAACUGGUGGCCAGUCUCUUCUUUUUUCCGUAGAAAAUAUUAUCUUAAAGACCAGCCUAGGUACAGUGAACCAUGCCUGGUGACUGGGAAAUCCACCAGAGGUAUCUCACAUUUCCCUCUUGCCUGUUUGUUGUAUGAGUACAGUAUGAUACAAUUUCAGCCUGUCAGAAUCUCACAAAGAUAAAAACAAAUGCAUAUGUUUGUGUGCAUUUGCAAUAUUGCCAGAUUUUAGGCAGAGGGUAGAAGAGAAACUCAAUGUCAGAAUUUUGAUAAACAGGACUUGUCUGCCAUGGGCGCAGUUGGAAAGAAAGAGAUCAAAAAUCUUGGGCUUGACUUUCAUCCAAGUCUCAUUUGGCAGCAAUGUGUGGCUUCCAUAGAGGCAGAGCAGAGACUGGAAUCCACCACUUGACCAGGCUGACACUUGUUUAUAAGACUCACAACUGCUUUGUGAGCCAACGGUUUCUUAUGGUAAUCAGAGGACUGCUUUAAUUAAAUGGUGUUUUACCAUGCUCCAAAAUUACUUCAGCAGGCCUGGCUAUUCAGUAGAUCCAUUACCAAUGGGAACAUUUUGCUGCUACACAUUCCCUCAUGCCCCUCACAGUUGGUAGACUGCUGCUGCAGGAGGUGUGGCAGGAGAAGAUUGCUUCCUUUCAGCUCUAUUAAAGGUUUUCCAAAUUAAAAUCAAUGAGAAGACAUUUGAAAGAAAGAUGGAGAGUUAAAUAUUUUUUUUUUCCUUUUACUUCCUUUUUUAAGCUUCAAGCUGGUAAGUGAUAAUCUGUGCAAACAAGAUAUUAGAAAUUUGGCACAUCCCAUCUACCACAACAUAUUGAUUCCUUCUACAAAAGGCACUAAAUACUGGCAUAAACCAAGAAAUGAUCAGCAGAAUGCAGUUCUUGUAUGACACACAAAAAUCCUGCUAACUGGCACAGCUUCAUAGUACAAUUUUCAGUUACCUAAAAUGGUGGUGAUAAUAGCAGCAAUGGUUAGGAUUUUUACAAGUACCACGUAUACAUACAAAUGUCAGAACAUCUAGAGGACAUGCAAAAUUUCAAGAGCAACAUCACUGAAUCACACAAUGCAUAGAAUUACUGUUGUUAUUAUUAUUAUGCAAGACAGUGUAAUAUUUUUAAUAAACAAUUUUUUUUUUAAACCUACAACCAGUUUUACAAACUGUUCUUAAAAAAAAGUUGUUAAAGUCAGUGAGUGUUAACCUUUUAGAGGUUUAACUCUAAGAAUGAAUUGGUUACUACAGAGAAUUCACAGUUAGGUGGAAAUUUAGUUAUACUUAAGCAAAAUAUGUUUGUCAACUGCUGUUUUGGAAGAAACUGUGCUAAUCUUGUCAAUUUACAAAAUGGCAAAAAAUACAUUCACAUUAAAAGAUUAAAAAGAUUAAACAUUGCAUGCAGGGAAAGACAAAAUCCUUGUUAGCUGUUUCUCCUAGCACUGCUCACCAUGAGACCAAGGGUUGUCAUAGCAAAAAUGCUUUUCAAAGGCAGAGUUAAUGCCUGCAGAUAAUUGAAACAAAUGGAAAACAUUUUCUAAUUCUGGUGUAAAUCAAAGUAGGCUAUUAAGGGAUAAGGAUUACGCUUGCCUUCUUUAGAAUAAAGGACAAAAACUUCCAUUGUGUUUCCAGGCUUUUUCACUGCCUUUCCACUGCUCUUCAUUACACUUGGAUAUUCUGCCUCUUCUUUUUCUUCCAGUAUUGAGUAGUUUUUCUGCCCAGACAGAUCUCGAGAUGAAUCCUGAGAUGGAUGGGCCACAUGGACAAAAACAAACAUGACAAUGCAUCUAUGGCCAAGUGAUGUUGCCUCCUGCACACCUCAGGCUCAUUUCCAGUGGGACUAGUCAUGUGCUUGGGGGGCAAGUGCAGGAACAGCCCGAGCUUGGUGGAAGCAGAGGCAUGGGCACACACUUCUCACAGCACUCUGCAGAAGUGCCACCAAAUUCUCUCUGGCAGCAGCAUCACCCAACUUGCAGGUACUGCCAUAAAUAGGUGCAAAAUCAGAUUCACACCAUUUCCUCCCCUGACAGCUUUCAGAUUUCAUUAAGACAUUUCAUUUCACAUUUUGUCUGCACAUCUCUGAAAGCCUUGGAUACUUCUGCACCUGCAUUUCGCAUCCAUGCCCCCAGCCUUGCGCAGAGGAACCCAGUCUUUCAAGCUGCUCACAGAGAAAGUUCCUGAAGAAGACAUAUCUUCCAAGAUCUGAAUGACAGGCACCAGGCAGAAAACAAAGGUCUCCACAAAGCAACUGACACUGCAAUCAUUGUUCAGUGCACCUUUAGCCUUAGAGACACUAGGAUAUUAGUCUCCAUAAACAAAAGUUACCAAAAUCAAUUUGAAGCCAUUUAGUCUUGAUCCCUGCCUUCUGCAUCCACCACUGAAGAUAGUGAGGCAAUGUCUCCUGCAUCGGUUUGUUUUCAGGCUGGAAAUUUACAUAUAGGAAGUUUAUUAAAUGCAUGAUAGUAGAAGAGAAAGAGGAAUCCCAGCAGGAUUGGAAUAAUGCAAUGUGAAACAGACCAUAAAGCUACACGAUCUAGGCCAUCUGAGAACAUGCUAUAAUGGUAACAAGAGCAGUCUCAGCAAGAUUACAACUUUCAGAAAGCAAAUAAAAUUCUAGGUAUGAGGAAUGUCAGAGUUUUAUUUGUUCAGAAGAAAAAAAAA
Molecule: long non-coding RNA, 8132 nt
Organism: Passer montanus (Eurasian tree sparrow)
Lineage: Eukaryota; Metazoa; Chordata; Aves; Passeriformes; Passeridae
Exons: 2
Source: RefSeq, a predicted model, not a curated record